RNAcentral lists this ribosomal RNA (864 nucleotides) under uncultured bacterium. RNAcentral's name for it is "bacterial SSU rRNA". It matches the Rfam family "Bacterial small subunit ribosomal RNA", at positions 56 to 920 of the family's 1533-position model. The record is from RNAcentral.
UGCAGUCGAACGGUAACAGGUCUUCGGAUGCUGACGAGUGGCGAACGGGUGAGUAAUACAUCGGAACGUGCCUAGUAGUGGGGGAUAACUACUCGAAAGAGUAGCUAAUACCGCAUGAGAUCUACGGAUGAAAGCAGGGGACCUUCGGGCCUUGUGCUACUAGAGCGGCUGAUGGCAGAUUAGGUAGUUGGUGGGGUAAAGGCUUACCAAGCCUGCGAUCUGUAGCUGGUCUGAGAGGACGACCAGCCACACUGGGACUGAGACACGGCCCAGACUCCUACGGGAGGCAGCAGUGGGGAAUUUUGGACAAUGGGCGAAAGCCUGAUCCAGCAAUGCCGCGUGCAGGAUGAAGGCCCUCGGGUUGUAAACUGCUUUUGUACGGAACGAAAAGCCUGGGGCUAAUAUCCUCGGGUCAUGACGGUACCGUAAGAAUAAGCACCGGCUAACUACGUGCCAGCAGCCGCGGUAAUACGUAGGGUGCAAGCGUUAAUCGGAAUUACUGGGCGUAAAGCGUGCGCAGGCGGUUUUGUAAGACAGUGGUGAAAUCCCCGGGCUCAACCUGGGAACUGCCAUUGUGACUGCAAGGCUAGAGUGCGGCAGAGGGGGAUGGAAUUCCGCGUGUAGCAGUGAAAUGCGUAGAUAUGCGGAGGAACACCGAUGGCGAAGGCAAUCCCCUGGGCCUGCACUGACGCUCAUGCACGAAAGCGUGGGGAGCAAACAGGAUUAAUACCCUGGUAGUCCACGCCCUAAACGAUGUCAACUGGUUGUUGGGUCUUAACUGACUCAGUAACGAAGCUAACGCGUGAAGUUGACCGCCUGGGGAGUACGGCCGCAAGGUUGAAACUCAAAGGAAUUGACGGGGAC